Long non-coding RNA from Gymnogyps californianus (California condor), 245 nucleotides. RefSeq lists it as uncharacterized. The transcript has 3 exons. Lineage: Eukaryota; Metazoa; Chordata; Aves; Accipitriformes; Cathartidae. The record is from RefSeq and is a predicted model, not a curated record.
UUGGAGAGGUGACAGGACCUUGAUGAGUAUGGGAAGCUUGCCUGGGGGGUUAUUGAACCUGCUGCCUCUGGAGCACUGGGGUGCUGUGCGGACCGGGCAACCCGGUCUCUGUCAUGCAGCUGCGGCGGCAGAGGCAGGGUGACUCAUCCCGUCUGUAACCGAUGGCUCAGGACGACGCAGAUGCCAUAAGUUACUGGGAGCUGCAGAUGAUCCACGAACCUCUUGUGAUGCUGCUGCACGUACAC